This 29-nucleotide non-coding RNA is filed under the name Rattus norvegicus (Norway rat). The record is from RNAcentral. Lineage: Eukaryota; Metazoa; Chordata; Mammalia; Rodentia; Muridae.
UGAGGAACUAGGUAAACUGGAACCUUGUC